This 354-nucleotide ribosomal RNA is filed under the name Eukaryota sp. RNAcentral describes it as "SSU rRNA". It matches the Rfam family "Eukaryotic small subunit ribosomal RNA", at positions 1324 to 1700 of the family's 1831-position model. The record is from RNAcentral.
UUCGAUAACGAACGAGACCUUAACCUGCUAAAUAGCCAGGCUAGCUUUGGCUGGUCGCCGGCUUCUUAGAGGGACUAUCGGCUCAAGCCGAUGGAAGUUUGAGGCAAUAACAGGUCUGUGAUGCCCUUAGAUAUUCUGGGCCGCACGCGCGCUACACUGACAGGGCCAGCGAGUACAUCACCUUAGCCGAGAGGCUUGGGUAAUCUUGUUAAACCCUGUCGUGCUGGGGAUAGAGCAUUGCAAUUAUUGCUCUUCAACGAGGAAUGCCUAGUAAGCGCGUGUCAUCAGCACGCGUUGAUUACGUCCCUGCCCUUUGUACACACCGCCCGUCGCUAAUACCGAUUGAAUGGGUAA